AUGGGAUUUCCCAGGCAAAAAUACUGGAGUGGGUUGCCAUUCCCUUCUCCAGGGAAUCUUCCCCACCCAGGGACUGAAACUGCAUCUCUUGCGUCUCUUGCAUUGGCAGGCACAUUCUUUACCACUGUGCUACCUGGGAAGCCCUUUUGACUCUGCAGCUUUAUUUUUUUAAAAAAAUAAUAUUUAAUAUAACGUCCAUAUUCCACCUACUUCUCACACUACCAGGCUUCCCUGUUAGCUCAGCUGGUAAAGAAUCCACCUGCAAUGCAGGAGACCCUGGUUUGAUUCCUGGGUCGGGAAGAUCCACUGGAGAAGGGAUAGACUGCCCACUCCAGUAUUCUUGGGCUUCCCUGGUGGCACAAAUGGUAAAGAAUCUGCCUGCAAUGCAGGAGACCUGGGUUAGGAAGAUCCAUUGGAGAAGGGAAUAGCUACCCACUCCAGUAUUCUGGCCUGGAGAAUUCCAUAGGCAGAGAAGCCUGGCAGGCUACCGUCCAUGGGGUCACAAAGAGUCGGACAUGACUGAGCAACUAACACAGUACUAUUGCCAGGCUCUGUUCUAGGCACCGGGAAUACAUCAGCUGGAAGAAUUUCUGCAUCCUGCAGACACAGAGGAAGAGCUCCCGAGACCCCUGCAUCGCACGGUUCCUUCCUGCUGCCAGCAGUUUGGGAGGCAAAAGCAUCUGUGUCUCAGAGGAUUUGUUCUCCCAUCUCAGCCCCCCUUUGGGAAAAGCCGUUUUUCUCGCCUCUCAGAAGUGGAGGGACACUUCCUUGGGAAAGAGAGAUGAUCCUCCAUCCAGCUUUUUCUGCUGGGAAAGGAGCAUUGUCUGGAGAAAUUGUUCCAGCUGGGGUUCUGCUGAGGUUGUCAGAGGGUGACACUGGGCUUGGAGUCUGGAGAGAACACCUUGAAUUUAUAGAAUUUCUCCUUUCCCUUUAAAAAGGCUUCUUCAGAAAUCGCCAGCUUUUGAGAGCAGAAGACACAAAUCAGGCAUCUUACCUGCACCUAAAUCUCUCCAUCUGCGGCCAACCUGGGCAGACCCAAGGUUUCCUUUCAGACCCAUGAAGAGGUUGCUAUGGAUUCAAGAACAAUGGGAUGAUUUUUUUUUUUUUUCCCCUCAAAGAGUUACGCAAUUUUCCAGCUGCUUCUGGAAGUAGCAGCUCUCCACUGAGCACAUUUGGGUCAGGUGUGGGGUGAGGUGGGGAUGUGGCAUUGCUUCUGGCUUUGGUUACUUUCUGUGAAAGAAUCAUCUUCUUCACCCUAAGGAUAAAACUGGAAGACAAAUGCCUUGGGAUCCUUCUCAGUAUAUUUCAUGGUUGUGGUAUGGUGGUGUCAUCUGUGGGGAACUGAUGUCCUAGCAAAUUUUGCUUUAAUUUUAUCAUUUAUAGAACUGGGAGAUGGGAAUCAACACAUUUUAAAUAACUUCUGCAUGCCAGGCACUAUGCUGGAUGCUUUGCCAUGCCUUAAUUCAUUGAAUCUAAACUCCUGAAUCUUCAAAACCAUUCACUGAAGUAAGCACUUGGAUGAGUCCCCCUAUAUAAAGGAGGAGAACUGGGUGCAGAGAGGGGAAGUGACUUGCCUGAGGUCACACAACUGUUAAGAUGUGGAGCCUGGAUUUAGAGCCAAGUCUGUCAGCAUCUAAAGUCCAUGUUUUUUCUAUUCUGUCAUGCUGCCAGAGAGGCAUUUUAAUGUUUAGCGAAAUGACUAACUGAGG
Molecule: long non-coding RNA, 1709 nt
Filed under: Capra hircus (goat)
Lineage: Eukaryota; Metazoa; Chordata; Mammalia; Artiodactyla; Bovidae
Description: lncRNA (ENSCHIG00000007025.1)
Source: RNAcentral